AAGGUCUAACCUGCCCAAUGAGGAUUUAAAUGGCCGCAGUAUUUUGACUGUGCAAAGGUAGCAUAAUUAUUAGUUUUUUAAUUGAAAGCUUGUAUGAAGGGUUGGACGAGAUAAAAUCUGUCUCUAUUUAAUUUAAAGUAGAAUUUAACUUUUGAGUCAAAAGGCUCAAAUAAUUAUAAAAGACGAGAAGACCCUAUAGAUCUUUAUUUAAUUAAUAUUUUAAUAAUUUAGGAUUAAUUUAGUUUAAAGUUUUAAUUAAAUUUUAUUGGGGUAAUAUAAAGAUUAAAUAAAUUCUUUUUAUUUAUUACAUUGAUUUAUGAAUUUGUGAUCCAAUAUUAUUGAUUAUAAGAUUAAGUUACCUUAGGGAUAACAGCGUAAUUUUUUUGGAGAGCUCAUAUCGAUAAAAAAGUUUGCGACCUCGAUGUUGGAUUAAAAGUUAGCUUGGGUGCAGAAGCUCAAGAUUUUGGUCUGUUCGACCAUUAAAUUUUUACAUGAUCUGAGUUCAGACCGGCGUAAGCCAGGUCGGUUUCUAUCUUUAUUUAGAUAAAAUAUUUUAGUACGAAAGGACCAAGUAUUUAAUAUAUUUAUAUUUGAUUUUUGAACAAUAUUAUUACUUUGGCAGAUUAGUGCAAUGAAUUUAGAAUUCAUGAAUGUAAUUAUAUUACAAGUAAUACUUGUAUUUAGGAGAUUUACUUUCAAUGGUACUUUGUAUAUUAAUUCUCGUGAUUUGUGUAUUAGUUGGGGUUGCUUUUUUAACAUUGUUGGAGCGAAGGGUAUUAGGUUAUAUUCAGAUUCGGAAGGACCUAAUAAGGUAGA
This 816-nucleotide ribosomal RNA is filed under the name Cicindela flohri. RNAcentral describes it as "partial large subunit ribosomal RNA". The stretch from base 1 to 560 matches the Rfam family "Bacterial large subunit ribosomal RNA", at positions 1847 to 2925 of the family's 2925-position model. The record is from RNAcentral. Lineage: Eukaryota; Metazoa; Arthropoda; Insecta; Coleoptera; Carabidae.